GCGCCCCCCGGGCAAGGGUCCCCUCGCUGCUUCUCUGCCCGGAGCCGGGAGCGUGCCGGUGCGACGGGGUGAGCCUACGCAGGCGUGCGGGAGAGCGAGGAGUUGGGAUGCUGGCAGCUUCUCGGUGUGGAGUUCUCAUUAGAGAUGGAAGAUGAAGACACGAUUGACGUGUUCCAGCAGCAGACAGGUGGAGGGUGCUAAGACAUGCUGUCCUCUGGAGAAGAGGAGUUUCAGGAUCCUCAUCUCACCUGACUCUCUCAUCUGUCCUCGAAUUUGCUAUUUUAAUAGUGAACAAAUGAGCAUUCCAAUCACACGGGGCUCCUCAAAACUUCAGUUGCUUGUUGUCUUUGACAUUCUGCAUGCACAAGUCAAAACAGUAUCUGCAGGGAUGGAUCAGCAUUUGAAUUGGGCCAGCUUGAUUUAAGUUCAGAUUAAGUCAUGCAUAUUCUCUCUGCUGUGUUUUUUUUUUUUAAUUGUUUUUACUAAAUUUUUUUUCUUUCUUUAAACCUAUAGCCUGAACAUUCAUCCGUGUGUUGGGACGUGGAGCGUUCAUUCCUGGCUCUGUUCAGUCUUGUGCCUCUGUUUAACUCAAAUUAUGUAAAUCAGUGUAUUUUCACGCUAGUUUUGAGCAUGAAAUUUUACUUUUAGGAGGCACCCAAGAGGAGGAACAGAGAUACUGGUUUUAAGUUCUUAGCUCGUGUUGCAAACGCAGUCGGUCCCUUGGGCAGCAUUGAGCCCUUGGCAUGGGCUGCAACACGAGACAGUACUUACAGCAGAGUUCAAAUACUGAAGGUUGACAUGUGUUUUGUCAUGUUAUGAUAAAGGUGUCCAAAAUAUACUUUUUUUAUGCAGAAA
Long non-coding RNA from Chiroxiphia lanceolata (lance-tailed manakin), 855 nucleotides. RefSeq lists it as uncharacterized. NCBI's taxonomy places the organism in Eukaryota, Metazoa, Chordata, Aves, Passeriformes, Pipridae. The transcript is spliced from 2 exons. The record is from RefSeq and is a predicted model, not a curated record.